This 492-nucleotide ribosomal RNA is filed under the name uncultured bacterium. Its description in RNAcentral is "partial 16S ribosomal RNA". It matches the Rfam family "Bacterial small subunit ribosomal RNA", at positions 30 to 507 of the family's 1533-position model. The record is from RNAcentral.
AUUGAACGCUGGCGGCAUGCUUUACACAUGCAAGUCGAACGGUAACAGGCCUUCGGGUGCUGACGAGUGGCGAACGGGUGAGUAAUGCAUCGGAACGUACCCAGAGGUGGGGGAUAACGCAGCGAAAGCUGUGCUAAUACCGCAUGUGAUCUGAGGAUGAAAGCGGGGGACCGAGCAGCAAUGUUUGGCCUCGCGCCUUUGGAGCGGCCGAUGUCGGAUUAGCUAGUUGGUGGGGUAAAGGCCUACCAAGGCGACGAUCCGUAGCUGGUCUGAGAGGACGACCAGCCACACUGGGACUGAGACACGGCCUAGACUCCUACGGGAGGCAGCAGUGGGGAAUUUUGGACAAUGGGCGCAAGCCUGAUCCAGCAAUGCCGCGUGCGGGAAGAAGGCCUUCGGGUUGUAAACCGCUUUUGGCAGGAACGAAACGGUGUCCGCUAAUACCGGGCGCUAAUGACGGUACCUGCAGAAUAAGCACCGGCUAACUACGUG